Molecule: ribosomal RNA, 391 nt
Filed under: uncultured bacterium
Lineage: Bacteria
Description: bacterial SSU rRNA
Rfam family: Bacterial small subunit ribosomal RNA
Source: RNAcentral
UCGAGAGGGGAACUAACCCGGCGAAAGUCGGACUAAUACCGCAUAAACAGGGGCACCGCAUGGUGAUAUUUGUUAAAGAGAUUCGCUGAUAGAUGGGCAUGCGUUCCAUUAGGUAGUUGGUGACGGUAACGGCUCACCAAGCCGACGAUGGAUAGGGAACUGAGAGGUUGGUCCCCCCACACUGGUACUGAGACACGGACCAGACUCCUACGGGAGGCAGCAGUGAGGAAUAUUGGUCAAUGGGCGGGAGCCUGAACCAGCCAAGUCGCGUAGAAGGAAGAAGGAUCUAUGGUUCGUAAACUUCUUUUGCGAGGGGAAUAAAGUGCAGGACGUGUCCUGUUUUGUAUGUACCCUGAGAAUAAGGAUCGGCUAACUCCGUGCCAGCCGCCGC